Molecule: long non-coding RNA, 412 nt
Organism: Oryzias melastigma (Indian medaka)
Lineage: Eukaryota; Metazoa; Chordata; Actinopteri; Beloniformes; Adrianichthyidae
Exons: 2
Source: RefSeq, a predicted model, not a curated record
UUAGGUGUAAAGGACCGAAAUUAUGUAAUUUUCUGUUAAACACCGGAAGUUGUGUUUUGUUUCCGGGAGCUUGACACCUAAACACCGGAAGUUGUGUUUCGUUUCCGGGAGCUUGACACGCGCGAUUCUUUAGAAACCAGAGCGUCUUCUCACGUGAGUUCAGUUAGUUUUCACAGCUUAAUUUCAAUGUCUGUUUUCUUGUGAUCUUUAAACAUGUAAACAUUGUGCAUUUUAUUUCUGUUAGAUUGAAUUAUAUCAGCUGCAUUUACGUGCAAUUUAGUUCGGUCGGCCCCUCCCCCUCCCAGAGUAAAGCAGGUGGGAGCAACAUAGAGGGAAACCCUGCAGUUAGCACCCUUGGCAAGCGGAGCGAGUUUUCACGGUGCCAAACGAAAUAAAACUACUGCACCCGUCA